UACGUAGGGUGCGAGCGUUGUCCGGAAUUAUUGGGCGUAAAGGGCUCGUAGGCGGUUUGUCGCGUCGGGAGUGAAAACCAGGUGCUUAACACCUGGCUUGCUUUCGAUACGGGCAGACUAGAGGUAUUCAGGGGAGAACGGAAUUCCUGGUGUAGCGGUGAAAUGCGCAGAUAUCAGGAGGAACACCGGUGGCGAAGGCGGUUCUCUGGGAAUGACCUGACGCUGAGACGCGAAAGCGUGGGGAGCAAACAGG
Molecule: ribosomal RNA, 253 nt
Filed under: uncultured bacterium
Lineage: Bacteria
Description: partial 16S ribosomal RNA
Rfam family: Bacterial small subunit ribosomal RNA
Source: RNAcentral